RNAcentral lists this ribosomal RNA (497 nucleotides) under uncultured bacterium. Its description in RNAcentral is "partial 16S ribosomal RNA". It matches the Rfam family "Bacterial small subunit ribosomal RNA", at positions 28 to 507 of the family's 1533-position model. The record is from RNAcentral.
GAUGAACGCUGGCGGCGUGCCUAAUACAUGCAAGUCGAGCGAACAGACGAGGAGCUUGCUCCUCUGACGUUAGCGGCGGACGGGUGAGUAACACGUGGAUAACCUACCUAUAAGACUGGGAUAACUUCGGGAAACCGGAGCUAAUACCGGAUAAUAUAUUUAACCGCAUGGUUCAAUAGUGAAAGACGGUUUUGCUGUCACUUAUAGAUGGAUCCGCGCCGCAUUAGCUAGUUGGUAAGGUAACGGCUUACCAAGGCAACGAUGCGUAGCCGACCUGAGAGGGUGAUCGGCCACACUGGAACUGAGACACGGUCCAGACUCCUACGGGAGGCAGCAGUAGGGAAUCUUCCGCAAUGGGCGAAAGCCUGACGGAGCAACGCCGCGUGAGUGAUGAAGGUCUUCGGAUAGUAAAACUCUGUUAUUAGGGAAGAACAAAUGUGUAAGUAACUAUGCACGUCUUGACGGUACCUAAUCAGAAAGCCACGGCUAACUACGUG